This 468-nucleotide ribosomal RNA is filed under the name uncultured bacterium. RNAcentral's name for it is "partial 16S ribosomal RNA". It matches the Rfam family "Bacterial small subunit ribosomal RNA", at positions 28 to 507 of the family's 1533-position model. The record is from RNAcentral.
GACGAACGCUGGCGGCGUGCUUAACACAUGCAAGUCGAACGGAAAGGCCCUGCUUUUGUGGGGUGCUCGAGUGGCGAACGGGUGAGUAACACGUGAGUAACCUGCCCUUGACUUUGGGAUAACUUCAGGAAACUGGGGCUAAUACCGGAUAGGAGCUCCUGCUGCAUGGUGGGGGUUGGAAAGUUUCGGCGGUUGGGGAUGGACUCGCGGCUUAUCAGCUUGUUGGUGGGGUAGUGGCUUACCAAGGUUUUGACGGGUAGCCGGCCUGAGAGGGUGACCGGCCACAUUGGGACUGAGAUACGGCCCAGACUCCUCCGGGAGGCAACAGUGGGGAAUAUUGCACAAUGGGCGGAAGCCUGCAGCAGAAACGCCGCGUGCGGGAUGACGGCCUUCGGGUUGUAAACCGCUUUCGACUGUGACGAAGCGUGAGUGACGGUAAUGGGUAAAGAAGCACCGGCUAACUACGUG